RNAcentral lists this ribosomal RNA (463 nucleotides) under uncultured bacterium. Its description in RNAcentral is "bacterial SSU rRNA". It matches the Rfam family "Bacterial small subunit ribosomal RNA", at positions 339 to 794 of the family's 1533-position model. The record is from RNAcentral.
UUACGGAAGGCAGCAGUGGGGAAUUUUGGACAAUGGGCGCAAGCCUGAUCCAGCCAUUCCGCGUGCAGGAUGAAGGCCCUCGGGUUGUAAACUGCUUUUGUACGGAACGAAACGGCGCGGGCCAAUACCCUGUGCUAAUGACGGUACCGUAAGAAUAAGCACCGGCUAACUACGUGCCAGCAGCCGCGGUAAUACGUAGGGUGCGAGCGUUAAUCGGAAUUACUGGGCGUAAAGCGUGCGCAGGCGGUGAUGUAAGACAGGUGUGAAAUCCCCGGGCUUAACCUGGGAACUGCAUUUGUGACUGCAUUGCUGGAGUGUGGCAGAGGGGGAUGGAAUUCCGCGUGUAGCAGUGAAAUUCGUAGAUAUGCGGAGGAACACCGAUGGCGAAGGCAAUCCCCUGGGCCUGCACUGACGCUCAUGCACGAAAGCGUGGGGAGCAAACAGGAUUAGAUACCCCGGUAGC